UUGAACGCUGGCGGCAGGCCUCACACAUGCCAGUCGAGCGGAUGAAGGGAGCUUGCUCCUGGAUUCAGCGGCGGACGGGUGAGUAAUGCCUAGGAAUCUGCCUGGUAGUGGGGGAUAACGUCCGGAAACGGGCGCUAAUACCGCAUACGUCCUGAGGGAGAAAGUGGGGGAUCUUCGGACCUCACGCUAUCAGAUGAGCCUAGGUCGGAUUAGCUAGUUGGUGGGGUAAAGGCCUACCAAGGCGACGAUCCGUAACUGGUCUGAGAGGAUGAUCAGUCACGCUGGAACUGAGACACGGUCCAGACUCCUACGGGAGGCAGCAGUGGGGAAUAUUGGACAAUGGGCGAAAGCCUGAUCCAGCCAUGCCGCGUGUGUGAAGAAGGUCUUCGGAUUGUAAAGCACUUUAAGUUGGGAGGAAGGGCAGUAAGUUAAUACCUUGCUGUUUUGACGUUACCAACAGAAUAAGCACCGGCUAACUUCGUG
RNAcentral lists this ribosomal RNA (483 nucleotides) under uncultured bacterium. RNAcentral's name for it is "partial 16S ribosomal RNA". It matches the Rfam family "Bacterial small subunit ribosomal RNA", at positions 30 to 507 of the family's 1533-position model. The record is from RNAcentral.